AUGCCCCAUGUGAUAGUUCAGAAAGGGAAGAUUUUUUUUCAGCACCUCAACCAAGCUGCUGCUCUUGUGGGUGGAUCGUGGAUACUGCUGGGUGACUUCAACAUGUACAGGUCUGCCCAUGAGAAAUCUAGAGGAUGCAUAAACUGGUCAGUCAUGGAGCACUUUAACAGCUGGAUUAGAGAACAUGGCUUGGAUGAUAUUCCUAUUGCAAAUCGCAAAUAUACUUGGUCCAAUAAGAGAAGGGAACCAACGCUUGUUAAGCUGGACAGGGUGCUCGUCAACGCCGAGUGGAAUUUGGGUUUCUUCCAAACUGUGGCCACUGCCAUAAUGGCCGCAACUUCUGAUCAUGCUCUGUUCAUCGUGGAAUUCAGUAAAGACACCACCAGAAGCAAUUUUUUCAGGUUCGAGAAUUUUUGGCUGGAUAUUGAAGAGGUCAGGGGGGUUAUCUCAGAAGGUUGGACUAGAGGCACCAGGGCCUUUGCUGUGACUACAUCUCUUAUCAGCAUUAAGAUGAGAAGAAUUCGAGCUGCCAUCCGCAAGUGGGGUAGAAGCAGGGGAAGUGUUCAGCUGCUCAUGGAAAAUAACAAGCAUGUUGUGGACUUUUUGAAUGCGGUUGAGGAGUACAGGACACUCUCUAACUUGGAGUUUUGUCUUAGAGAUUAUGCCAAUAAGAAAGUCCAGCAGUUAAUCCUUUGGCAAACUAGCAUUUGGAGGAGAAGGGCAAAAAUCCGUCAAUGCACUUUGGGGGAUGAAAACACCCGUUUUUUCCAUCCUGCUGCAAAUAGUCAUUCAAGAAGGAACAAAAUCAGAGUUCUUGUCAAGGAUGGUAUCGAAUUCUUUGAUGAUGAGGACAAGCUCAGGAUAGCAACUGAGUAUUUCAACACCUUGUUCGGACAGGCCUCUCCUUCGGUACCGGUCGUAGAUAUCUCAGCGCUCUAUGAUCCGAUCGACCUAAGCUCGCUAGAAGAGCAGUUUUCAUGGGCCGAAAUCGUCUCUGCAAUCAACCGUUCCCCGAACAACCGUAGCCCUGGGCCAGACGGUUUCACAAAUGAGUUCUACAAAUGCUUCAAGGAAACUCUGAAACCUGAUCUGCUGAAUUUUUUCAGUGACUUUCAUGCAAAUAAUGCCGAUCUCUCAGGCGUCAAUUCUGCAUCCAUUUCUUGCUGCCUAAAAAGAAAUUUCAAUGGAGAUUAA
RNAcentral lists this ribosomal RNA (1194 nucleotides) under Triticum aestivum (bread wheat). RNAcentral describes it as "partial small subunit ribosomal RNA". Lineage: Eukaryota; Viridiplantae; Streptophyta; Magnoliopsida; Poales; Poaceae. The record is from RNAcentral.